UGAGGAAUAUUGGUCAAUGGGCGAGAGCCUGAACCAGCCAAGUAGCGUGCAGGAUGACGGCCCUAUGGGUUGUAAACUGCUUUUAUGCGGGGAUAAAGUGUGCGACGUGUCGUGCAUUGCAGGUACCGCAUGAAUAAGGACCGGCUAAUUCCGUGCCAGCAGCCGCGGUAAUACGGAAGGUCCGGGCGUUAUCCGGAUUUAUUGGGUUUAAAGGGAGCGUAGGCCGCCAGAUAAGCGUGUUGUGAAAUGUACCGGCUCAACCGGUGAAUUGCAGCGCGAACUGUUUGGCUUGAGUGCACGGUAAGCAGGCGGAAUUCAUGGUGUAGCGGUGAAAUGCUUAGAUAUCAUGAGGAACUCCGAUUGCGAAGGCAGCUUGCUGCAGUGCGACUGACGCUGAUGCUCGAAGGUGCGGGUAUCAAACAGG
This 424-nucleotide ribosomal RNA is filed under the name Fusobacteriota bacterium. RNAcentral's name for it is "Fusobacteria bacterium partial 16S ribosomal RNA". It matches the Rfam family "Bacterial small subunit ribosomal RNA", at positions 355 to 776 of the family's 1533-position model. Lineage: Bacteria; Fusobacteriati; Fusobacteriota. The record is from RNAcentral. RNAcentral also lists the same sequence under 1 other name.